Molecule: ribosomal RNA, 1372 nt
Filed under: uncultured bacterium
Lineage: Bacteria
Description: bacterial SSU rRNA
Rfam family: Bacterial small subunit ribosomal RNA
Source: RNAcentral
GAUGAACGCUGGCGGCGUGCCUAAUACAUGCAAGUCGAGCGAACGGACGAGAAGCUUGCUUCUCUGAUGUUAGCGGCGGACGGGUGAGUAACACGUGGAUAACCUACCUAUAAGACUGGGAUAACUUCGGGAAACCGGAGCUAAUACCGGAUAAUAUUUUGAACCGCAUGGUUCAAAAGUGAAAGACGGUCUUGCUGUCACUUAUAGAUGGAUCCGCGCCGCAUUAGCUAGUUGGUAAGGUAACGGCUUACCAAGGCAACGAUGCAUAGCCGACCUGAGAGGGUGAUCGGCCACACUGGAACUGAGACACGGUCCAGACUCCUACGGGAGGCAGCAGUAGGGAAUCUUCCGCAAUGGGCGAAAGCCUGACGGAGCAACGCCGCGUGAGUGAUGAAGGUCUUCGGAUCGUAAAACUCUGUUAUUAGGGAAGAACAUAUGUGUAAGUAACUGUGCACAUCUUGACGGUACCUAAUCAGAAAGCCACGGCUAACUACGUGCCAGCAGCCGCGGUAAUACGUAGGUGGCAAGCGUUAUCCGGAAAUUAUGGGCGUAAAGCGCGCGUAGGCGGUUUUUUAAGUCUGAUGUGAAAGCCCACGGCUCAACCGUGGAGGGUCAUUGGAAACUGGAAAACUUGAGUGCAGAAGAGGAAAGUGGAAUUCCAUGUGUAGCGGUGAAAUGCGCAGAGAUAUGGAGGAACACCAGUGGCGAAGGCGACUUUCUGGUCUGUAACUGACGCUGAUGUGCGAAAGCGUGGGGAUCAAACAGGAUUAGAUACCCUGGUAGUCCACGCCGUAAACGAUGAGUGCUAAGUGUUAGGGGGUUUCCGCCCCUUAGUGCUGCAGCUAACGCAUUAAGCACUCCGCCUGGGGAGUACGACCGCAAGGUUGAAACUCAAAGGAAUUGACGGGGACCCGCACAAGCGGUGGAGCAUGUGGUUUAAUUCGAAGCAACGCGAAGAACCUUACCAAAUCUUGACAUCCUUUGACAACUCUAGAGAUAAAGCCUUCCCCUUCGGGGGACAAAGUGACAGGUGGUGCAUGGUUGUCGUCAGCUCGUGUCGUGAGAUGUUGGGUUAAGUCCCGCAACGAGCGCAACCCUUAAGCUUAGUUGCCAUCAUUAAGUUGGGCACUCUAAGUUGACUGCCGGUGACAAACCGGAGGAAGGUGGGGAUGACGUCAAAUCAUCAUGCCCCUUAUGAUUUGGGCUACACACGUGCUACAAUGGACAAUACAAAGGGCAGCGAAACCGCGAGGUCAAGCAAAUCCCAUAAAGUUGUUCUCAGUUCGGAUUGUAGUCUGCAACUCGACUACAUGAAGCUGGAAUCGCUAGUAAUCGUAGAUCAGCAUGCUACGGUGAAUACGUUCCCGGGUCU